ACCUAGCCCCGAUAGAAACGGUUACCCCACAGCACAGAUUGGAAGGCUUGAAGGUUUUGGAGUGGGAAAAUUUGGCGCGAGGAGUAUGAGUGGAUAGCGGGAUGAAGC
This 108-nucleotide unclassified non-coding RNA is filed under the name Chryseobacterium ureilyticum. Its description in RNAcentral is "Flavo-1 RNA". Lineage: Bacteria; Pseudomonadati; Bacteroidota; Flavobacteriia; Flavobacteriales; Weeksellaceae. The record is from RNAcentral.